CCCGCUGAACUUAAGCAUAUCAAUAAGCGGAGGAAAAGAAAAUAACAAUGAUUCCCUUAGUAACGGCGAGUGAAGGGGGAAAAGCUCAAAUUUUAAAUCUGCUAGGUUUUACUUAUCAGAAUUGUAAUUUGAAGAAGCGUUUUCCGCGUCUCGGUUGACCCAAAUCCUUUGGGAUGAGGUAUCAUGGAGGGUGAGAAUCCCGUUCGGUUGACCUUAUGACGUUCUACGAUACGCUUUCUAAGAGUCGAGUUGUUUGGGAUUGCAGCUCAAAAUGGGAGGUAAAUUUCUCCUAAGGCUAAAUAUCGGCGAGAGACCGAUAGCGAACAAGUACCGUGAGGGAAAGAUGAAAAGAACUUUGAAAAGAGAGUAAAAUAGUACGUGAAAUUGUUGAAAGGGAAACGAUUGAAGUCAGUCGUACCGACGAGAAAUCAACUUAUCGCGUGCGAACUUGUGGGCGUGCGUGAGUUUCGGCCUCGCUGUUUGCAUGUUUGUGCGUUUUCGGUGUACUUUUUCGUAUGGUAGGCCAACAUCAGUUUCGAUUACUAUAAAAUGACCGGCGGAAUGUAGCUUCGAUUUCGGUUGAAGUGUUAUAGCCUCUGGUAGAUGUGGUGAUUGGGACUGAGGAUUGCAACGAAUAUCCUUUGGGCUAUCCGUCUGAUCUCUGAAAGUUGCUCAGGUGCCGAAAGCGUGCUUACGGUCAUCUAAGUUGACGGUCAACAGGUUAGAACGUGAUUACAUUCGUUAAGGAUGUUGGCGUAAUGGCUUUAAACGACCCGUCUUGAAACACGG
Molecule: ribosomal RNA, 789 nt
Filed under: uncultured fungus
Lineage: Eukaryota; Fungi
Description: eukaryotic LSU rRNA
Rfam family: Eukaryotic large subunit ribosomal RNA
Source: RNAcentral